UGAGAAUCCCACAGGCCGUAAACCCAAGGUUUCCAGGGGAAGGUUCGUCCGCCCUGGGUUAGUCGGGACCUAAGCUGAGGCCGAAAGGCGUAGGUGAUGGACAACAGGUUGAUAUUCCUGUACUACCGAUAACCGUUUGAGAGAUGGGAUGACACAGUAGGAUAAGCUAAGCACACUGUUGGUUAUGUGUGCCCAAGCAUUGAGGCAGUCAGAGUAGGUAAAUCCGCUUUGAUAAUGCUGGGAUGUGAUGGGGAGCGAAAUUUAGUAGCGAAGUAGCUGAUUUCACACUGUCGAGAAAAGUCUCUAUCGAGGUUAAAGGUACCCGUACCGCAAACC
This 336-nucleotide ribosomal RNA is filed under the name Clostridioides difficile. RNAcentral describes it as "partial 23S ribosomal RNA". It matches the Rfam family "Bacterial large subunit ribosomal RNA", at positions 1322 to 1655 of the family's 2925-position model. Lineage: Bacteria; Bacillati; Bacillota; Clostridia; Peptostreptococcales; Peptostreptococcaceae. The record is from RNAcentral.